GCCUUGCUAGCUCAAUCGGUAGAGCGUGUGACUCUUAACAUCACAAGGUUGGGGGUUCGAGCCCCCCGUAGGGCU
Molecule: transfer RNA, 75 nt
Filed under: Geotrichum candidum
Lineage: Eukaryota; Fungi; Ascomycota; Dipodascomycetes; Dipodascales; Dipodascaceae
Description: transfer RNA-Lys (CTT)
Rfam family: tRNA
About the family: Transfer RNA (tRNA) molecules are approximately 80 nucleotides in length. Their secondary structure includes four short double-helical elements and three loops (D, anti-codon, and T loops).
Source: RNAcentral